This 1771-nucleotide ribosomal RNA is filed under the name Salmonella enterica subsp. enterica serovar Bovismorbificans. Its description in RNAcentral is "partial 23S ribosomal RNA". It matches the Rfam family "Bacterial large subunit ribosomal RNA", at positions 1 to 2228 of the family's 2925-position model. The record is from RNAcentral. Lineage: Bacteria; Pseudomonadati; Pseudomonadota; Gammaproteobacteria; Enterobacterales; Enterobacteriaceae.
CGUUCAACCUCAAAAGAAGCAGAGGGGGCUUAGUGGUGGGGUGACUGCGUACCUUUUGUAUAAUGGGUCAGCGACUUAUAUUCUGUAGCAAGGUUAACCGAAUAGGGGAGCCGGAGGGAAACCGAGUCUUAAUUGGGCGUUAAGUUGCAGGGUAUAGACCCGAAACCCGGUGAUCUAGCCAUGGGCAGGUUGAAGGUUGGGUAACACUAACUGGAGGACCGAACCGACUAAUGUUGAAAAAUUAGCGGAUGACCUGUGGCUGGGGGUGAAAGGCCAAUCAAACCGGGAGAUAGCUGGUUCUCCCCGAAAGCUAUUUAGGUAGCGCCUCGUGAAUUCAUCUCCGGGGGUAGAGCACUGUUUCGGCUAGGGGGCCAUCCCGGCUUACCAACCCGAUGCAAACUGCGAAUACCGGAGAAUGUUAUCACGGGAGACACACGGCGGGUGCUAACGUCCGUCGUGAAGAGGGAAACAACCCAGACCGCCAGCUAAGGUCCCAAAGUCAUGGUUAAGUGGGAAACGAUGUGGGAAGGCCCAGACAGCCAGGAUGUUGGCUUAGAAGCAGCCAUCAUUUAAAGAAAGCGUAAUAGCUCACUGGUCGAGUCGGCCUGCGCGGAAGAUGUAACGGGGCUAAACCAUGCACCGAAGCUGCGGCAGCGAACGUAUCACUUAAAGCGAUUCAGCGGGUUACGAUUGACGGAGCGAAGCGACGUCAAAGCGUAUACAAAGUCGAGUCGGUUUAAGGAUACGUUCGUUGGGUAGGGGAGCGUUCUGUAAGCCUGUGAAGGUGGCCUGUGAGGGUUGCUGGAGGUAUCAGAAGUGCGAAUGCUGACAUAAGUAACGAUAAAGCGGGUGAAAAGCCCGCUCGCCGGAAGACCAAGGGUUCCUGUCCAACGUUAAUCGGGGCAGGGUGAGUCGACCCCUAAGGCGAGGCCGAAAGGCGUAGUCGAUGGGAAACGGGUUAAUAUUCCCGUACUUGGUGUUACUGCGAAGGGGGGACGGAGAAGGCUAUGUUGGCCGGGCGACGGUUGUCCCGGUUUAAGCGUGUAGGCUGGUUUUCCAGGCAAAUCCGGAAAAUCAAGGCUGAGGCGUGAUGACGAGGCACUACGGUGCUGAAGCAACAAAUGCCCUGCUUCCAGGAAAAGCCUCUAAGCAUCAGGUAACAUCAAAUCGUACCCCAAACCGACACAGGUGGUCAGGUAGAGAAUACCAAGGCGCUUGAGAGAACUCGGGUGAAGGAACUAGGCAAAAUGGUGCCGUAACUUCGGGAGAAGGCACGCUGACACGUAGGUGAAGUGAUUUACUCAUGGAGCUGAAGUCAGUCGAAGAUACCAGCUGGCUGCAACUGUUUAUUAAAAACACAGCACUGUGCAAACACGAAAGUGGACGUAUACGGUGUGACGCCUGCCCGGUGCCGGAAGGUUAAUUGAUGGGGUCAGCGCAAGCGAAGCUCCUGAUCGAAGCCCCGGUAAACGGCGGCCGUAACUAUAACGGUCCUAAGGUAGCGAAAUUCCUUGUCGGGUAAGUUCCGACCUGCACGAAUGGCGUAAUGAUGGCCAGGCUGUCUCCACCCGAGACUCAGUGAAAUUGAACUCGCUGUGAAGAUGCAGUGUACCCGCGGCAAGACGGAAAGACCCCGUGAACCUUUACUAUAGCUUGACACUGAACAUUGAGCCUUGAUGUGUAGGAUAGGUGGGAGGCUUUGAAGUGUGGACGCCAGUCUGCAUGGAGCCGGCCUUGAAAUACCACCCUUUAAUGUUUGAUGUUCUAACGU